RNAcentral lists this ribosomal RNA (307 nucleotides) under Bacillus subtilis. Its description in RNAcentral is "bacterial SSU rRNA". It matches the Rfam family "Bacterial small subunit ribosomal RNA", at positions 419 to 717 of the family's 1533-position model. Lineage: Bacteria; Bacillati; Bacillota; Bacilli; Caryophanales; Bacillaceae. The record is from RNAcentral.
CGGAUCGUAAAGCUCUGUUGUUAGGGAAGAACAAGUACCGUUCGAAUAGGGCGGUACCUUGACGGUACCUAACCAGAAAGCCACGGCUAACUACGUGCCAGCAGCCGCGGUAAUACGUAGGUGGCAAGCGUUGUCCGGAAUUAUUGGGCGUAAAGGGCUCGCAGGCGGUUUCUUAAGUCUGAUGUGAAAGCCCCCGGCUCAACCGGGGAGGGUCAUUGGAAACUGGGGAACUUGAGUGCAGAAGAGGAGAGUGGAAUUCCACGUGUAGCGGUGAAAUGCGUAGAGAUGUGGAGGAACAUCCUUGGUA